Molecule: ribosomal RNA, 253 nt
Filed under: uncultured bacterium
Lineage: Bacteria
Description: partial 16S ribosomal RNA
Rfam family: Bacterial small subunit ribosomal RNA
Source: RNAcentral
UACAGAGGUCUCAAGCGUUGUUCGGAUUCAUUGGGCGUAAAGGGUGCGUAGGUGGCGCGCUAAGUCAGGUGUGAAAUUUCGGAGCUUAACUCCGAAACUGCAUUUGAUACUGGCGUGCUUGAGGACUGGAGAGGAGACUGGAAUUCACGGUGUAGCAGUGAAAUGCGUAGAUAUCGUGAGGAAGACCAGUGGCGAAGGCGGGUCUCUGGACAGUUCCUGACACUGAGGCACGAAGGCCAGGGGAGCAAACGGG